This 1478-nucleotide ribosomal RNA is filed under the name Nocardiopsis sp. B15. RNAcentral describes it as "bacterial SSU rRNA". It matches the Rfam family "Bacterial small subunit ribosomal RNA". Lineage: Bacteria; Bacillati; Actinomycetota; Actinomycetes; Streptosporangiales; Nocardiopsidaceae. The record is from RNAcentral.
GAGACAUAUUACGGGGGGUCUACCAUGCAGUCGAGCGGUAAGGCCCUUCGGGGUACACGAGCGGCGAACGGGUGAGUAACACGUGAGCAACCUGCCCCUGACUCCGGGAUAAGCGGUGGAAACGCCGUCUAAUACCGGAUACGACCCGCCACCUCAUGGUGGAGGGUGGAAAGUUUUUCGGUCAGGGAUGGGCUCGCGGCCUAUCAGCUUGUUGGUGGGGUAACGGCCUACCAAGGCGAUUACGGGUAGCCGGCCUGAGAGGGCGACCGGCCACACUGGGACUGAGACACGGCCCAGACUCCUGCGGGAGGCAGCAGUGGGGAAUAUUGCGCAAUGGGCGAAAGCCUGACGCAGCGACGCCGCGUGGGGGGAUGACGGCCUUCGGGUUGUAAACCUCUUUUACCACCAACGCAGGCCCGGAGUUUUCUUUCGGGUUGACGGUAGGUGGGGGAAUAAGGACCGGGCUAACUACGUGCCAGCAGCCGCGGUAAUACGUAGGGUCCGAGCGUUGUCCGGGAAUUAUUGGGCGUAAAGAGCUCGUAGGCCGGCGUGUCGCGUCUGCUGUGAAAGACCGGGGCUUAACUCCGGUUCUGCAGUGGAUACGGGCAUGCUAGAGGUAGGUAGGGGAGACUGGAAUUCCUGGUGUAGCGGUGAAAUGCGCAGAUAUCAGGAGGAACACCGGUGGCGAAGGCGGGUCUCUGGGCCUUACCUGACGCUGAGGAGCGAAAGCAUGGGGAGCGAACAGGAUUAGAUACCCUGGUAGUCCAUGCCGUAAACGUUGGGCGCUAGGUGUGGGGACUUUCCACGGUUUCCGCGCCGUAGCUAACGCAUUAAGCGCCCCGCCUGGGGAGUACGGCCGCAAGGCUAAAACUCAAAGGAAUUGACGGGGGCCCGCACAAGCGGCGGAGCAUGUUGCUUAAUUCGACGCAACGCGAAGAACCUUACCAAGGUUUGACAUCACCCGUGGACUCGCAGAGAUGUGAGGUCAUUUAGUUGGCGGGUGACAGGUGGUGCAUGGCUGUCGUCAGCUCGUGUCGUGAGAUGUUGGGUUAAGUCCCGCAACGAGCGCAACCCUUGUUCCAUGUUGCCAGCACGUAAUGGUGGGGACUCAUGGGAGACUGCCGGGGUCAACUCGGAGGAAGGUGGGGAUGACGUCAAGUCAUCAUGCCCCUUAUGUCUUGGGCUGCAAACAUGCUACAAUGGCCGGUACAAUGGGCGUGCGAUACCGUAAGGUGGAGCGAAUCCCUAAAAGCCGGUCUCAGUUCGGAUUGGGGUCUGCAACUCGACCCCAUGAAGGUGGAGUCGCUAGUAAUCGCGGAUCAGCAACGCCGCGGUGAAUACGUUCCCGGGCCUUGUACACACCGCCCGUCACGUCAUGAAAGUCGGCAACACCCGAAACUUGCGGCCUAACCCCUUGUGGGAGGGAGUGAGUGAAGGUGGGGCUGGCGAUUGGGACGAAGUCGUAACAAGAGCACCCC